RNAcentral lists this ribosomal RNA (490 nucleotides) under uncultured bacterium. Its description in RNAcentral is "partial 16S ribosomal RNA". It matches the Rfam family "Bacterial small subunit ribosomal RNA", at positions 30 to 507 of the family's 1533-position model. The record is from RNAcentral.
AUUGAACGCUGGCGGCAGGCCUAACACAUGCAAGUCGAACGGUAACAGGAAGAAGCUUGCUUCUUUGCUGACGAGUGGCGGACGGGUGAGUAAUGUCUGGGAAACUGCCUGAUGGAGGGGGAUAACUACUGGAAACGGUAGCUAAUACCGCAUAAUGUCGCAAGACCAAAGAGGGGGACCUUCGGGCCUCUUGCCAUCGGAUGUGCCCAGAUGGGAUUAGCUAGUAGGUGGGGUAACGGCUCACCUAGGCGACGAUCCCUAGCUGGUCUGAGAGGAUGACCAGCCACACUGGAACUGAGACACGGUCCAGACUCUUACGGGAGGCAGCAGUGGGGAAUAUUGCACAAUGGGCGCAAGCCUGAUGCAGCUAUGCCGCGUGUAUGAAGAAGGCCUUCGGGUUGUAAAGUACUUUCAGCGGGGAGGAAGGGAGUAAAGUUAAUACCUUUGCUCAUUGACGUUACCCGCAGAAGAAGCACCGGCUAACUCCGUG